ACUCCUACGGGAGGCAGCAGUAGGGGAAUCUUCCACAAUGGGCGGCCAAGCCUGAUGGAGCAACACCGCGUGAGUGAAGAAGGGUUCGGCUCGUAAAGCUCUGUUGUUAAAGAAGAACACGUAUGAGAGUAACUGUUCAUACGUUGACGGUAUUUAACCAGAAAGUCACGGCUAACUACGUGCCAGCAGCCGCGGUAAUACGUAGGUGGCAAGCGUUAUCCGGAUUUAUUGGGCGUAAAGAGAGUGCAGGCGGUUUUCUAAGUCUGAUGUGAAAGCCUUCGGCUUAACCGGAGAAGUGCAUCGGAAACUGGAUAACUUGAGUGCAGAAGAGGGUAGUGGAACUCCAUGUGUAGCGGUGGAAUGCGUAGAUAUAUGGAAGAACACCAGUGGCGAAGGCGGCUACCUGGUCUGCAACUGACGCUGAGACUCGAAAGCAUGGGUAGCGAACAGGAUUAGAUACCCUGGUAGGAUAGCG
RNAcentral lists this ribosomal RNA (475 nucleotides) under uncultured bacterium. Its description in RNAcentral is "bacterial SSU rRNA". It matches the Rfam family "Bacterial small subunit ribosomal RNA", at positions 335 to 801 of the family's 1533-position model. The record is from RNAcentral.